UGCCAGACUCCUACGGGAGGCAGCAGUGGGGAAUAUUGGACAAUGGGGGGAACCCUGAUCCAGCGACGCCGCGUGAGUGAAGAAGUAUUUCGGUAUGUAAAGCUCUAUCAGCAGGGAAGAAAGAAGUGACGGUACCUGACUAAGAAGCCCCGGCUAACUACGUGCCAGCAGCCGCGGUAAUACGUAGGUGGCAAGCGUUAUCCGGAUUUACUGGGUGUAAAGGGCGUGUAGGCGGGGAAGCAAGUCAGAUGUGAAAACCACGGGCUCAACCUGUGGCCUGCAUUUGAAACUGGGUGUCUUGAGGGCAGGAGAGGAAAGUGGAAUUCCUAGUGUAGCGGUGAAAUGCGUAGAUAUUAGGAGGAACACCAGUGGCGAAGGCGACUUUCUGGACUGUACCUGACGCUGAGGCGCGAAAGCGUGGGUAGCGAACGGGAUUAGAUACCCUCGUAUA
Molecule: ribosomal RNA, 451 nt
Filed under: uncultured bacterium
Lineage: Bacteria
Description: bacterial SSU rRNA
Rfam family: Bacterial small subunit ribosomal RNA
Source: RNAcentral